CCUGGGCCACUGCCUCCCUUGGCGUGGCCCACCUCUCUCUCUCUGCUUUUUCUUUCCAUAUCAUCAGUAAGCUUUCUUGCAGUGGUUAAGACCUCCGAUUCUUCUUUGUAUCCUUACCAAGAACAGAGGCCCAUGGGAGGUGGGGUCUUCAGACUCUCCUCUGCUAACAUUUUGGUGCCAUGACUUGGGUUUUCUACUCUUGCUCCUGAUCUCCUCCCUGUCUGACCAUCACUCAAUCUGAGCCUGCCUCUUUGGACCAACACUGGAGAUUCAGAUGGGCCACUGGGCACAGAAAUGUCCCAAUCAAGAUAAACCACCUAAGACUGCCUGCUAUAAACGCCAUCAGCUAGGACACUGGGCAGCCCUAUGCCCCUCAAUCCAAAGGGACCGAGGACCAGAGGCUGCUACUCAGACUGCCCAAGACUGAGGAGGCCCCUCCAGUCGGCCCCAAAACAACAGAUCCACGACAUGGACUGGAACUGAGGGUACAAUUGGCUGUGGCCCAUAAGUCAACAUUUUCUUACUCAAUAUCGGGGCCGCCUGUUCUGCCUUGACUUCCUCCUCUGGACCCUUCUCCUCCCAGACCUGUACCACCAGGGGAGUCACCAGUGAGCCAAUCAGCAGGUCUUUUACCAUGCGCCUCUUCCGUGCCUGGGAAGGAUUUGGAUUCUCCCACAGUUUUUGACAUAUGCCUGACUGUCCCAGCCCACUCCCAGGGAGCGACCCACUACAAAAAUAGAAUGCCUCUCUCUCUCCCUCAAGGAGGGUCACAUGGACGCCAUCCAGGGGGCAACCUCUGGGAAAUUUCAUGCGCCACUAAUGAAGAUAAAAAUUCCUCCAGGCCAGGCUGGCUUCAACAAGUGAACCCACUGGCCCGAGACCAGGGAAAUUCCAGGAAAAGCUGAAAAUGCAACAUCAGUCACAACAGCUUUAAAGAACCCACAUAAAUUUCCCCCAAAGACACAAUAUCCCCUUAGGCCUGAAGCCCUCAUGGGACUUCAACCCAUCAUGUCCAAAUUCCUGUCCCACAGACUCCUUAUCGCCACAAAUUCACCAUGUAGUACCCCAAUAUUAGCAGUCAAGAAAAAGGACAGCACUUACUGCCUGGUCCAGGAUUUGUAUAUCAUUAAUGAGGCCAACAGUGAGGAAAC
Long non-coding RNA from Bos taurus (domestic cattle), 1151 nucleotides. The record is from Ensembl. NCBI's taxonomy places the organism in Eukaryota, Metazoa, Chordata, Mammalia, Artiodactyla, Bovidae.